GGCCGCCGCAGCGGCUGCAGCGCCGGCGGGACCCGCCGUGCCCUCCCGCCGCCUCGCCCGCACGGAGCGCGGAUUGUGCAACCUGGGAAAUGUUACUGCAAUUUAAUUAACUUCAGAAAGUGUAUUCUGGACUGAAUUGACCAGACCUCCUAUUCUAUG
This 159-nucleotide long non-coding RNA is filed under the name Parus major (Great Tit). RNAcentral describes it as "lncRNA (ENSPMJG00000018565.1)". Lineage: Eukaryota; Metazoa; Chordata; Aves; Passeriformes; Paridae. The record is from RNAcentral.